UCCCGUUCUUUUUCAUAAGAAUGGGUUCUAUUCCCUUAAACCGUGUCUACAUACCUUUGUUGCUUUGGCAGGCCGCCUUCGGGCGUCGGCUCCGGCUGAUAGUGCCUGCCAGAGGACCCAAACUCUAUGUUUAGUGAUGUCUGAGUACUAUAUAAUAUUUAAAACUUUCAACAACGGAUCUCUUGGUUCUGGCAUCGAUGAAGAACGCAGCGAAAUGCGAUAAGUAAUGUGAAUUGCAGAAUUCAGUGAAUCAUCGAAUCUUUGAACGCACAUUGCGCCCCUUGGUAUUCCGAGGGGCAUGCCUGUUCGAGCGUCAUUAUAACCACUCAAGCCUGGCUUGGUAUUGGGGUUUUCGCGUGUUCGCGGCCCUUAAAAUCAGUGGCGGUGCCGUCUGGCUCUAAGCGUAGUAAUUUCUCUCGCUAUAGGGUUCCGGUGGUUACUUGCCAAAACCCCCCAUUUUUUCUAGGUUGACCUCGGAUCAGGUAGGGAACCC
Molecule: ribosomal RNA, 493 nt
Filed under: Hymenoscyphus sp. aurim701
Lineage: Eukaryota; Fungi; Ascomycota; Leotiomycetes; Helotiales; Helotiaceae
Description: eukaryotic LSU rRNA
Rfam family: 5.8S ribosomal RNA (bases 163-316)
Source: RNAcentral